AGCAGCCGCGGUAAUUCCAGCUCCAAUAGCGUAUAUUAAAGUUGUUGCAGUUAAAAAGCUCGUAGUUGAAUUUCGGGAUCAAGGGAUUGGUCAUGCCUUUGUAUGUACUGGUCUUAUUGGUUCUCACCUUCUAAGGAACCAUGAUGUCAUUUAUUUGAUGUUGUGGGGAAUUAGGACUGUUACCUUGAAAAAAUUAGAGUGUUUAAAGCAGGCUUACGCUUGAAUACAUUAGCAUGGAAUAAUGAAAUAGGACAUCAGAUUCUAUUUUGUUGGUUUCUAGGAUCGAUGUAAUGAUUAAUAGGGAUAGUUGGGGGCAUUAGUAUUCAAUUGUCAGAGGUGAAAUUCUUGGAUUUAUUGAAGACUAACUACUGCGAAAGCAUUUGCCAAGGAUGUUUUCAUUAAUCAAGAACGAAAGUUAGGGGAUCGAAGACGAUCAGAUACCGUCGUAGUCUUAACCAUAAACUAUGCCGACUAGGGAUCGGAUGAUGUUAAUUUUAAUGACUCAUUCGGCUACCG
This 516-nucleotide ribosomal RNA is filed under the name uncultured Glomeromycotina. RNAcentral describes it as "SSU rRNA". It matches the Rfam family "Eukaryotic small subunit ribosomal RNA", at positions 569 to 1089 of the family's 1831-position model. Lineage: Eukaryota; Fungi; Glomeromycota. The record is from RNAcentral.